AUGGUGGCGGCGGUGCCUUGGUUGCCCUGCAUCUGCGUGGGGAACCCCGGAUCUGGAGCGGCGGCUCCAUUGUCAAGAUACGUUGGAGACGUAUCACCGUGCGGGCGGUGGAUGUGGUGUCCCCACCGCGCGGGCGGCGGGAUCCGGUGGUCGUUGGCGGCCGACGGUGGCUUAUGCGGCGGUCGGUGCGCGCGAUCUGGCGCCUCCCCUCCUCCCCUGUUCAGCGUGCGGACCAGCCUGGUCGGGCCGCACUUCUUCUUGGGCGCCGGUUCUGUACAGGAGGCGCUGCUGGUGGCGGGGAUCUAG
This 306-nucleotide ribosomal RNA is filed under the name Triticum aestivum (bread wheat). Its description in RNAcentral is "partial small subunit ribosomal RNA". Lineage: Eukaryota; Viridiplantae; Streptophyta; Magnoliopsida; Poales; Poaceae. The record is from RNAcentral.